This 292-nucleotide ribosomal RNA is filed under the name uncultured bacterium. RNAcentral's name for it is "partial 16S ribosomal RNA". It matches the Rfam family "Bacterial small subunit ribosomal RNA", at positions 29 to 346 of the family's 1533-position model. The record is from RNAcentral.
AGCGAACGCUGGCGGCAGGCUUAACACAUGCAAGUCGAACGGGCAUAGCAAUAUGUCAGUGGCAGACGGGUGAGUAACGCGUGGGAACAUACCUCUUGGUUCGGAACAACACAGGGAAACUUGUGCUAAUACCGGAUAAGCCCUUACGGGGAAAGAUUUAUCGCCGAGAGAUUGGCCCGCGUCUGAUUAGCUAGUUGGUGUGGUAAAAGCGCACCAAGGCGACGAUCAGAGCUGGUCUGAGAGGAUGAUCAGCCACAUUGGGGACUGAGACACGGCCCAAACUCCUACGGGA